This 475-nucleotide ribosomal RNA is filed under the name uncultured bacterium. Its description in RNAcentral is "bacterial SSU rRNA". It matches the Rfam family "Bacterial small subunit ribosomal RNA", at positions 34 to 518 of the family's 1533-position model. The record is from RNAcentral.
CGCUGGCGGCGCACAUAAGACAUGCAAGUCGAACGAACUAAUUCAUCUUUUAGAUUGGAAGCGGGUUAGUGGCGGACUGGUGAGUAAUGAUAAGUAACCUGCCUAUCAGAGGGGAAUAACAGUGAGAAAUCAUUGCUAAUACCGCAUAUGCUAACAGAUUCGCAUGAAUUAGUUAGGAAAGGAGCAAUCCGCUGAUAGAUGGACUUAUAUCUGAUUAGCCUGGUUGGUGGGCAACGGCCUACCAAAGCUACGAUCAGUAGCCGGACUGAGAGGUUGAACGGCCACAUUGGGACUGAGAUACGGCCCAGACUCCUACGGGAGGCAGCAGUCGGGAAUAUUGCGCAAUGGAGGAAACUCUGACGCAGUGACGCCGCGUAUAGGAAGAAGGUUUUCGGAUUGUAAACUAUUGUCGUUAGGGAAGAUACAAGACAGUACCUAAGGAGGAAGCCCCGGCUAACUAUGUGCCAGCCGCAGC